Long non-coding RNA from Erigeron canadensis, 1133 nucleotides. RefSeq lists it as uncharacterized. The record is from RefSeq and is a predicted model, not a curated record. The transcript is spliced from 7 exons. NCBI's taxonomy places the organism in Eukaryota, Viridiplantae, Streptophyta, Magnoliopsida, Asterales, Asteraceae.
CCACGGUUGCUGAUAAUGACUCUGGUAAGAUGUAGAAGACGAGCUCGGGGAUGUUUAUUAUUAAAGGUCGGGUAUGGAAUGGAGGUUCAGUCUUGCUAGAAGUCAUGCCAAGAAGUUAUUAUGAUGAAGAAGAAAAAAUCAGUGGUGGUGUAGCCUCUACAAGCAAAUUACUGGCAAGAGUCAAAUUAUUGAACUUCCCACGGAGGCAAGGUGGAUAUAUACCUGUUCAGAAUCACCCCAUUGACGGAAGCGAAGAAGGACUGCAAAAGGGUUCAGAUAUACCGACCACCAACUGUGUCGACACAAUAUCAUAACUUCUGAUAAACGGCAGAUGAAGCUUGAUUAUACAGUUAAAAAUUACUAAUCAAGAGGCUGCAUGAAAGUGUUUUUCGUGUCAACUUUUAGCUGCAAAGUGAUUAGUACCCAUCUCGAACCUUCAAAUAUGAUUUCGGAAAUCGUAUAGGUGGCAUGUGGUUUGCAUUCAGGAGUCACUGCAGCUAAAAUACAAUUAUCAUGGUCUUGAUCUCUUGAAACCGAAAUGGGCGGAAAUGGCUGAACAAAAGAUACCGGGAAAUGCGAAAUUGUUACACAGAAGAUACUUUUGUUGCAAGUAGAUGAUGACCCUUCACCACUACUUUUUUUUUUAAAAGGCCCUUCACCACUACUUGCAGAAUGGAUUAAGAUACUACGUACAACCUAGCAGGGUUGACUGGAUUGGUUUGCUUCAUAGAUGGAAAGAAAAGAAUGAUCAAGUGUACUUUAAGAUGUUAUCGGUUAUUUGACUGUUGUCAACAAACCUUUGAAAAAUCGAAGCGGCUCCUAGACAGUUGACUUCAACCUUACAAAUGAAAGGGGAGGCCAGUUAGGGUUACGCUAUGGGCCACAUUAUGUGAUGAAAUGAUUGAUAAGAUCGACCAACAGCCUGGGGUUUAUACCAUCAUCUGGAAUUCGAUGAGUGCCAAUAUUAUCUUGGUAACGUUUGCUUAUCAAGCUCUUCCUCGACUUGCUUCUUGACAAUGAUGAGAUACGUCCAUGUUUUAUGUUAAAAACACGUGUAUUGUUUGACCAUGUAAAUUUGCAUAUUGUACGUUUCCCAUACAUUGAUUUCCUUGAAAGGUGAAAAUAUUGAUCUC